UACGGAGGGUGCAAACGUUGCUCGGAAUCAUUGGGCGUAAAGCGCACGUAGGCGGCCCGCUAAGUCGGAUGUGAAAGCCCUCGGCUUAACCGAGGAAGUGCAUUCGAAACUGACGGUCUUGAGUAUGGAAGAGGGUCGCGGAAUUCCCGGUGUAGAGGUGAAAUUCGUAGAUAUCGGGAGGAACACCAGUGGCGAAGGCGGCGACCUGGGCCAAUACUGACGCUGAGGUGCGAAAGCGUGGGGAGCAAACAGG
Molecule: ribosomal RNA, 253 nt
Filed under: uncultured bacterium
Lineage: Bacteria
Description: partial 16S ribosomal RNA
Rfam family: Bacterial small subunit ribosomal RNA
Source: RNAcentral